This is a long non-coding RNA of Etheostoma spectabile (orangethroat darter), 115 nucleotides long. RefSeq lists it as uncharacterized. The transcript has 3 exons. The record is from RefSeq and is a predicted model, not a curated record. NCBI's taxonomy places the organism in Eukaryota, Metazoa, Chordata, Actinopteri, Perciformes, Percidae.
UAGCCUGCUUGCCUAUACAGCCAAAGUCACGCUCUUCUACUUCCGGUCCAUGGGACCUAGCUUUCGAAAAAAUAUGAACGGGAGUCAAUGAGAGAUUAGGGUUAGUUCGAAUUGU